CUCUGGAAACCGGGAUUAAUACCAAAUAAAAUCAUAAUGACACAUGUCAUAACGAUCAAAACUCCGGUGGUCUAAGAUGGACUCGCGUCCCAUUAGCUAGUUGGUAGAGUAAAAGCCUACCAAGGCGACGAUGGGUAGCCGGCCUGAGAGGGUGAACGGCCACAUUGGAACUGAGAAACGGUCCAA
This 186-nucleotide ribosomal RNA is filed under the name uncultured Eubacteriales bacterium. Its description in RNAcentral is "uncultured Clostridiales bacterium partial 16S ribosomal RNA". It matches the Rfam family "Bacterial small subunit ribosomal RNA", at positions 148 to 334 of the family's 1533-position model. The record is from RNAcentral. Lineage: Bacteria; Bacillati; Bacillota; Clostridia; Eubacteriales.